AAAAAAGAAAAGAAUCUUCCCUUCAUGGGUUAUUUAUAUUAUUGCCUAAUUUUGUGGGAAAUACACUAACUGAGACUAAAUUUCAAAAUUUAUGUAACACGAAAAUGUCAUGGUUCUUAAAACGACUAAAUGCUAUACUUUGCGCAGACUCUUCAGUAAUCGCUGUUCGUCAAAUAUUAACAGAUAAUUCCCCAAAUGACGACGAGAAAAAUAUCUUCGUUGGGGAGACCGACGAUGAGCAACGAAUUGAUGAAUGGAAUCCACAAGACGAGGAAAUACGGCAGUUCGAACAAUAUCUCUAUAACUAUGAUUAAAAAAUUAUGUAAAAUUAUACAAGAAUUAUGUAAGUUUCGUCAAGUAUACGUUUACCUACUUUUAAUCAGCCUUCUCGUUGUUUCCUCUUUAUAUUCGCAAAUUUUGUAACUUUUUUUAGAAAAAGAUAAUAAUGAUAUCGUACAUGAAACGAAAUAUGAAAUGAAAUGUAUUGAAAUAUAAAAAGUUAAAAGUGUACUUUAAAGAUUAAACGAGUAAAAUUACAUUGUUUCUCGA
Molecule: long non-coding RNA, 549 nt
Filed under: Polistes fuscatus (common paper wasp)
Lineage: Eukaryota; Metazoa; Arthropoda; Insecta; Hymenoptera; Vespidae
Description: uncharacterized LOC122519036
Source: RNAcentral